RNAcentral lists this long non-coding RNA (1586 nucleotides) under Cyanistes caeruleus (blue tit). RNAcentral's name for it is "lncRNA (ENSCCEG00000004446.1)". Lineage: Eukaryota; Metazoa; Chordata; Aves; Passeriformes; Paridae. The record is from RNAcentral.
AAAUUCACCCCAAAAUUGACCCAGAAUCGACCCCAAAAAUUGACCCCGAGACCCCCAAAAUUGACCCCAAAAUCCAACCUUGAGACCCCCAAAAAUUGACCCCAAAUUGACCCCAAAAUCCGACCCCGAGACCCCCAAAAUUGACCCCAAAAUCCGACCCCGAGACCCCCAAAAUCGACCCAAAAUUGACCCAAAAUUGACCCCAAAAUUGACCCUGAGACCCUCAAAAUGACCCCAAAAUUGGGUCUGGGGACCCCCAAAAUUCACCCCAAAAUUGACCCAGAAUCGACCCCAAAAAUUGACCCCGAGACCCCCAAAAUUGACCCAAAAUUGACCCCAAAAAUGGACCCAAAAAUGACCCCAAAAUCCGACAAUGAGACCCCCAAAAUCGACCCCAAAAUGGACUCAAAGACCCCCAAAAUUGACCCCAAUUUGGCCCCAAAAUCCGACCCCGAGACCCCCAAAAUGACCCCAAAAUUUGGUCUGGAGACCCCCAAAAUUGACCCCAAAUUGACCCCGAGACCCCCAAAAUUGACCCCAAAAUCGACCCAAAAAUGGACCCCGAGACCCCCAAAAUUGACCCCAAAAUCGACCCCAAAAGGGACCCCAAGACCCCCAAAAUUGACCCCAAAUUCGGCCCCAAAAUCCGACCCCAAAAUCCGACCCCGAGACCCCCAAAAUCGACUCCAAAAUUGGGUCUGGAGACCCCAAAAUCGACCCCAAAUUGGACCCGAGGACCCCCCGGGGUUUGAGGAAUUUUACCAAAAUAAAGGAAAUUUUUGUGGAAUUUUAUUGGGGUUUUAUUGGGAUUUUAUUGGGAUUUUAUCGGGGUUUUAUUGGGAUUUUAUUGGGGUUUUUUUGGGAUUUUAUUGGGGUUUUAUCGGGAUUUUAUUGGGAUUUUAUUGGGAUUUUAUUGGGGUUUUAUUGGGGUUUUAUUGGGAUUUUAUUGGGGUUUUAUUGGGAUUUUAUUGGGGUUUUAUCGGGAUUUUAUUGGGAUUUUAUUGGGAUUUUAUUGGGAUUUUAUUGGGGUUUUAUUGGGGUUUUAUUGGAAUUUUAUCGGGGUUUUAUUGGGAUUUUAUUGGGGUUUUAUUGGAAUUUUAUCGGGGUUUUAUUGGGAUUUUAUUGGGGUUUUAUCGGGAUUUUAUUGGGAUUUUAUUGGGAUUUAAUUGGAAUUUUAUCGGGGUUUUAUUGGGAUUUUAUUGGGGUUUUAUUGGGAUUUUAUUGGGAUUUUAUUGGGAUUUUAUCGGGAUUUUAUUGGGAUUUUAUUGGGAUUUUAUUGGGAUUUUAUUGGGGUUUUAUUGGGAUUUUAUUGGGGUUUUAUUGGGAUUUUAUUGGGGUUUUUUUGGGAUUUUAUUGGGAUUUUAUUGGGGUUUUAUCGGGAUUUUAUUGGGAUUUUAUUGGGAUUUUAUUGGGAUUUUGGCGGGAUUUUUUGGCGGGAUUUUCAUGGAAUUUUGGCGGGAUUUCCAUGGAUUUUUGGCGGGAAUUUCGGUGGGGAUUUUGGCGGGAAUUUUGUUGGGAUUUCCGUGGCAUUUUGGCGGGAAUUCCGGUGGUGAUUUUGGCGGGAAUUUCCAUGGAAUUUUGGCGGG